GACGAACGCUGGCGGCGUGCUUAACACAUGCAAGUCGAACGGAAAGGCCCUGCUUUUGUGGGGUGCUCGAGUGGCGAACGGGUGAGUAACACGUGAGUAACCUGCCCUUGACUUUGGGAUAACUUCAGGAAACUGGGGCUAAUACCGGAUAGGAGCUCCUGCUGCAUGGUGGGGGUUGGAAAGUUUCGGCGGUUGGGGAUGGACUCGCGGCUUAUCAGCUUGUUGGUGGGGUAGUGGCUUACCAAGGCUUUGACGGGUAGCCGGCCUGAGAGGGUGACCGGCCACAUUGGGACUGAGAUACGGCCCAGACUCCUACGGGAGGCAGCAGUAGGGAAUAUUACACAAUGGGCGGAAGCCUGAUGCAGCAACGCCGCGUGCGGGAUGACGGCCUUCGGGUUGUAAACCGCUUUCGCCUGUGACGAAGCGUGAGUGACGGUAAUGGGUAAAGAAGCACCGGCUAACUACGUG
Molecule: ribosomal RNA, 468 nt
Filed under: uncultured bacterium
Lineage: Bacteria
Description: partial 16S ribosomal RNA
Rfam family: Bacterial small subunit ribosomal RNA
Source: RNAcentral